RNAcentral lists this ribosomal RNA (683 nucleotides) under Petrocephalus catostoma (churchill). RNAcentral's name for it is "partial 12S ribosomal RNA". It matches the Rfam family "Bacterial small subunit ribosomal RNA", at positions 521 to 1488 of the family's 1533-position model. Lineage: Eukaryota; Metazoa; Chordata; Actinopteri; Osteoglossiformes; Mormyridae. The record is from RNAcentral.
UUAUACGAGAGACCCAAGUUGACGCCUACGGCGUAAAGCGUGAUUAUAGGGUCAGAAUAAAACUAAAGCCAAAACCCCUCAAAGCUGUUAUACGCACAUCGAAGGCCGUAAGCCCAAAAACGAAAGUAGCUUUAAAUAAAUUGCCUAGACCACACGACAGUUGGGAAACAAACUGGGAUUAGAUACCCCACUAUGCCCAACCAUAAACUUUGAUAAUAAAAUACAAAUAUUAUCCGCCAGGGAACUACAAGCGCAUUGCUCGAAACCCAACGGACUUGGCGGUGCCCCACACCCACCUAGAGGAGCCUGUUCUGUAACUGACAAUCCCCGUUCAACCUCACCACCCCUAGCUUAAUCAGUCUAUAUACCACCGUCGUAAGCUCACCCUGUGAAGGCCCAAUAGUAAGCAAGAUGGGCACAACCCAACACGUCAGGUCGAGGUGUAGCACAUGGGGCGGGAAGAAAUGGGCUACAUUUUCUGCCCAACAGAAUAUCAACGAAUAAUGACAUGAAACUGUCAUUUAAAGGAGGAUUUAGCAGUAAAAAGAAAAUAGAGAGUUCUUUUGAAGCCGGCCCUGGGGCGCGCACACACCGCCCGUCACUCUCCACUACAACUUUCUUACAAAAGAAUAAAACACAAAAUUAAAUAAUAUAACAAUUACCCCAACAGUGGAGACAAGUCG